This 253-nucleotide ribosomal RNA is filed under the name uncultured bacterium. RNAcentral's name for it is "partial 16S ribosomal RNA". It matches the Rfam family "Bacterial small subunit ribosomal RNA", at positions 524 to 776 of the family's 1533-position model. The record is from RNAcentral.
UACGUAGGGUGCGAGCGUUGUCCGGAAUUAUUGGGCGUAAAGCGUGCGUAGGCGGUUCGUUAAGUUCGUUGUGAAAGCCCCGGGCUCAACCUGGGAAUGGCAAUGGAAACUGGCGGGCUGGAGUAUGGCAGAGGGGGGUGGAAUUCCGCGUGUAGCAGUGAAAUGCGUAGAGAUGCGGAGGAACACCGAUGGCGAAGGCAGCCCCCUGGGCCAAUACUGACGCUCAGGCACGAAAGCGUGGGGAGCAAACAGG